Molecule: transfer RNA, 75 nt
Filed under: Candidatus Dojkabacteria bacterium
Lineage: Bacteria
Description: tRNA-Gln
Rfam family: tRNA
About the family: Transfer RNA (tRNA) molecules are approximately 80 nucleotides in length. Their secondary structure includes four short double-helical elements and three loops (D, anti-codon, and T loops).
Source: RNAcentral
UGGAUCGUGGUGAAAUGGGUAUCACGCCUCCCUUUGGAGGAGGUUUUCCUAGUUCGAAUCUAGGCGAUCCAGCCA